GACGAACGCUGGCGGCGUGCUUAACACGUGCAAGUCGAACGGAAAGGCCCUGCUUUUGUGGGGUGCUCGAGUGGUGAACGGGUGAGUAACACGUGAGUAACCUGCCCUUGACUUUGGGAUAACUUCAGGAAACUGGGGCUAAUACCGGAUAGGAGCUCCUGCUGCAUGGUGGGGGUUGGAAAGUUUCGGCGGUUGGGGAUGGACUCGCGGCUUAUCAGCUUGUUGGUGGGGUAGUGGCUUACCAAGGCUUUGACGGGUAGCCGGCCUGAGAGGGUGACCGGCCACAUUGGGACUGAGAUACGGCCCAGACUCCUACGGGAGGCAGCAGUGGGGAAUAUUGCACAAUGGGCGGAAGCCUGAUGCAGCAACGCCGCGUGCGGGAUGAAGGCCUUCGGGUUGUAAACCGCUUUCGCCUGUGACGAAGCGUGAGUGACGGUAAUGGGUAAAGAAGCACCGGCUAACUACGUG
RNAcentral lists this ribosomal RNA (468 nucleotides) under uncultured bacterium. RNAcentral's name for it is "partial 16S ribosomal RNA". It matches the Rfam family "Bacterial small subunit ribosomal RNA", at positions 28 to 507 of the family's 1533-position model. The record is from RNAcentral.